CCUACGGGGGGCAGCAGUGAGGAAUAUUGGUCAAUGGACGCAAGUCUGAACCAGCCAUGCCGCGUGCAGGAAGACGGCUCUAUGAGUUGUAAACUGCUUUUGUACGAGGGUAAACGCAGAUACGCGUAUCUGUCUGAAAGUAUCGUACGAAUAAGGAUCGGCUAACUCCGUGCCAGCAGCCGCGGUAAUACGGAGGAUUCAAGCGUUAUCCGGAUUUAUUGGGUUUAAAGGGUGCGUAGGCGGUCGGAUAAGUUAGAGGUGAAAUCCCGAGGCUCAACUUCGGAAUUGCCUCUGAUACUGUUCGGCUAGAGAGUAGUUGCGGUAGGCGGAAUGUAUGGUGUAGCUGUGAAAUGCUUAGAGAUCAUACAGAACACCGAUUGCGAAGGCAGCUUACCAAGCUACUUCUGACGUUGAGGCACGAAAGCGUGGGGAGCAAACAGGAUUAGAUACCCUUGUAGUC
RNAcentral lists this ribosomal RNA (460 nucleotides) under uncultured bacterium. RNAcentral describes it as "partial 16S ribosomal RNA". It matches the Rfam family "Bacterial small subunit ribosomal RNA", at positions 338 to 795 of the family's 1533-position model. The record is from RNAcentral.